GGACCCGCACAAGUAGUGGAGCAUGUGGUUUAAUUCGAAGAUACGCGCAGAACCUUACCAACACUUGACAUGUUCGUCGCGACUUUAAGAGAUUAAAGUUUUCGGUUCGGCCGGACGAAACACAGGUGCUGCAUGGCUGUCGUCAGCUCGUGUCGUGAGAUGUUGGGUUAAGUCCCGCAACGAGCGCAACCCUCACUUUUAGUUGCCAUCAUUUAGUUGGGCACUCUGAAAGAACUGCCAGUGAUAAGCUGGAGGAAGGUGGGGAUGACGUCAAGUCCUCAUGGCCCUUACGUGUUGGGCUACACACGUGCUACAAUGGUAUCUACAACAGGAAGCAAGACGGCGACGUUAAGCAAAUCCUUAAAGCUGCUCCCAGUCCGGAUUGAAGUCUGCAACUCGACUUCAUG
Molecule: ribosomal RNA, 407 nt
Filed under: uncultured bacterium
Lineage: Bacteria
Description: bacterial SSU rRNA
Rfam family: Bacterial small subunit ribosomal RNA
Source: RNAcentral